This 895-nucleotide ribosomal RNA is filed under the name Phlegmacium memoria-annae. Its description in RNAcentral is "Cortinarius memoria-annae partial large subunit ribosomal RNA". It matches the Rfam family "Eukaryotic large subunit ribosomal RNA", at positions 80 to 954 of the family's 3401-position model. Lineage: Eukaryota; Fungi; Basidiomycota; Agaricomycetes; Agaricales; Cortinariaceae. The record is from RNAcentral.
CUAGUAACUGCGAGUGAAGCGGGAAAAGCUCAAAUUUAAAAUCUGUCAGCCUUUUGGUUGUCCGAGUUGUAAUCUAGAGAAGUGUUAUCCGCGCUGGACCGUGUACAAGUCUCCUGGAAUGGAGCGUCAUAGAGGGUGAGAAUCCCGUCUUUGACACGGACUGCCAGGGCUUUUGUGAUGCGCUCUCAAAGAGUCGAGUUGUUUGGGAAUGCAGCUCAAAAUGGGUGGUAAAUUCCAUCUAAAGCUAAANUAUUGGCGAGNAGACCGAUAGCGAACAAGUACCGUGAGGGAAAGAUGAAAAGAACUUUGGAAAGAGAGUUAAACAGUACGUGAAAUUGCUGAAAGGGAAACGCUUGAAGUCAGUCGCGUUGUCCAGGGAUCAACCUUGCUUUUGCUUGGUGUACUUUCUGGUUAACGGGUCAGCAUCAAUUUUGACUGUUGGAAAAAGAUCAGGGGAAUGUGGCAUCUUAGGAUGUGUUAUAGCCCUUGGUUGUAUACAAUGGUUGGGAUUGAGGAACUCAGCACGCCGCAAGGUCGGGUAUUUAUUUAUCACGUACGUGCUUAGGAUGCUGGCAAAAUGGCUUUAAUCGACCCGUCUUGAAACACGGACCAAGGAGUCUAACAUGCCUGCGAGUAUUUGGGUGGAAAACCCGAGUGCGCAAUGAAAGUGAAAGUUGAGAUCCCUGUCGUGGGGAGCAUCGACGCCCGGACCAGACCUUUUGUGACGGUUCCGCGGUAGAGCAUGUAUGUUGGGACCCGAAAGAUGGUGAACUAUGCCUGAAUAGGGUGAAGCCAGAGGAAACUCUGGUGGAGGCUCGUAGCGAUUCUGACGUGCAAAUCGAUCGUCAAAUUUGGGUAUAGGGGCGAAAGACUAAUCGAACCAUCUAGUAGCUGG